AUUCUUUUGUAGUUCACAAGCAUGAUGAUUGCAUGUUCACAUGCAUGUGUGAGAUAUCACCCUCAUGAACCUUGGUACGAUGUCAGCACGUUACCCAUCUCACA
Small nucleolar RNA from Macaca fascicularis (crab-eating macaque), 104 nucleotides. Lineage: Eukaryota; Metazoa; Chordata; Mammalia; Primates; Cercopithecidae. The record is from Ensembl.